RNAcentral lists this transfer RNA (74 nucleotides) under Parcubacteria group bacterium GW2011_GWA2_38_13b. Its description in RNAcentral is "tRNA-Gln". It matches the Rfam family "tRNA". From Rfam's summary of the family: Transfer RNA (tRNA) molecules are approximately 80 nucleotides in length. Their secondary structure includes four short double-helical elements and three loops (D, anti-codon, and T loops). The record is from RNAcentral.
UGCCGGGUCAUCUAAUGGUAGGAUAGCGGACUCUGAAUCCGUUCAUCUUGGUUCAAAUCCAAGCCCGGCAGCCA